UACGAAGGGGGCUAGCGUUGCUCGGAAUCACUGGGCGUAAAGCGCACGUAGGCGGAUCUUUAAGUCAGGGGUGAAAUCCUGGAGCUCAACUCCAGAACUGCCUUUGAUACUGGGGAUCUCGAGUCCGGAAGAGGUGAGUGGAACUCCGAGUGUAGAGGUGAAAUUCGUAGAUAUUCGGAAGAACACCAGUGGCGAAGGCGGCUCACUGGUCCGGUUCUGACGCUGAGGCGCGAAAGCGUGGGGAGCAUACAGG
Molecule: ribosomal RNA, 253 nt
Filed under: uncultured bacterium
Lineage: Bacteria
Description: partial 16S ribosomal RNA
Rfam family: Bacterial small subunit ribosomal RNA
Source: RNAcentral